UCCCGGCGCCACAAGUGGGGACCAUGGUUAUUGGGCCUAAAGCGUUCGUAGCAGGUCGGAUAAAUCUCUUGUGAAAUCGUUGGGCUUAACCUAACGGCGGGCAAGAGAGACUGUUCGACUAGAGACCGGGAGGGGUUAGAGGUAUUCCUUGGGGAGCGGUAAAAUGUUAUAAUCCUUGGAAGACCACCUGUGGCGAAGGCGUCUAACCAGAACGGGUCUGACUGUGAGGAACGAAAGCCAGGGGAGCAAUCCGG
Molecule: ribosomal RNA, 254 nt
Filed under: uncultured bacterium
Lineage: Bacteria
Description: partial 16S ribosomal RNA
Rfam family: Archaeal small subunit ribosomal RNA
Source: RNAcentral